RNAcentral lists this unclassified non-coding RNA (376 nucleotides) under soil metagenome. RNAcentral's name for it is "partial contains 5.8S ribosomal RNA, internal transcribed spacer 2, and large subunit ribosomal RNA". The stretch from base 1 to 120 matches the Rfam family "5.8S ribosomal RNA", at positions 35 to 154 of the family's 154-position model. The record is from RNAcentral.
GAUGAAGAACGUAGCGAAAUGCGAUAAGUAAUGUGAAUUGCAGAAUUCAGUGAAUCAUCGAAUCUUUGAACGCAUCUUGCGCUCCUUGGUAUUCUGAGGAGCAUGCCUGUUUGAGUGUCAUUAAAUUCUCAACUACACUGACUUUGAAUUGGUGUGGCUUGGAUUUGGGGGGAAAAUUGUUGUGGGCUUUUUGUAUAGUCUGCUCCCCUGAAAUUGAUUAGCGGUACCUUUGUGGAACUGUCUACAGGUGUGAUAAUUAUCUACAUCUUAGACAUCUGCUGGAAUGCUGCUUUCUAAACCUUACUUGUAUUGACAAUCUUGACCUCAAAUCAGGUAGGACUACCCGCUUAACUUAAGCAUAUCAAUAAGCGGAGGA